GGAGGGCAUUUCAAAGUCAGGCAGCCUCGAGCAGCAGCGUUGGCGGGAGGGAAUAACUCGGCUCCCACCGCGCUGAGAAUAGCUCCGAAUUGGGUCAUGCUCACCGCACUCCGGUCACAGCCUCCAGCCUUUGACAGUGUGUCAUUGGCCGGCGCUGCACGGCACCGUGUGACAUCCUGAUCCAGGAGUCCCGUGCGACCCGCGCCUCUUCCCCGUGUUCAUCCCCCCCACAUCGGCUGUCGUCCUCACAUUUGCGAGAAAGGGGACCUAAGUGGGACCCAAGCGGCCAACGAGGUGUGACCAUGGACUUUCUGUGGUUUGAGCGGCGGCGGCGGAGCAGCAGGUUCUUGGAUAUGUAUUACGCACCAGGAGCUGAGGACACUACUUCUCGAGAAGAGUUCAUCGAAAGGACAUGGCGAGUGUGGAAGGCAGUGUGGGGUGGCCUGGUGCAGAGUGAGUGAGCUGAGGCCAGGAAGCUGCGGGAGGAAGGACACGUGCAGAGGCCAUGCCCACUGUCUGUCCAGUUUCCUUUCACUGCGGGGCCUAGGACACGUCUGCGGGGCUGAGCGGGCCGCCCCCGCCUCCGGGUGAUCACCACUAAGACCUCCGCAAGAAGAGACAAGACGGCAGAAACGUGCUCAAACAAGGCUAGAAGCAGCGCAAGCAAGGUGCUGCUUUCAUGUAACAGGCGUGCAACAGGCAGGAAACUGCCCCAGGUGAGUGGGGGCGGAACAGGGAGGCGGCGGGGGGCUCAGGGGGCCCCCAAGGACUAACGGGUCAGAAAUACCAACUCUCUGCUAAUGAGAAGGCAAGUGUCAAUGGCAAUCUUAAGUGAAGCCUUGGUGGUGGGGGGGGCGGGGGGCAGUUCUUGCCACUUUCCCUGCUUCUCUACAGUGAGGUCAACCCCUGUGCGCCCGGCUGCAUGGGCGCAGCGAGAGGCCAGGCCUCCCCUGGGCUGUUCCCUGCUGCCCACACUUCAGGUGUUGCUCACAUGGAACAGUGAUCCCUUCACCUGCCACAGGACCCUGGUCUGUGCUCAGGGCUGCCACCUCCUUCCCCCACUGCCACCAACUGGACCUGGGGAGCCCGCCUUCCCCAAGCCUGGCCCACUUUGCCAAGACAUUAUUCCUUACCCGGGUCGGACAGUAAAUGAAGGUGAAUCAGAACAGAACUCACACCUCAGACUCACAUCCUUUCUCACCGCAAAGAUAAGCUAAGAGAUUUUUAUUGCAUUAAUAAUUAAGGGUAUACUAAUAUCUCAAAAUACUGAAUUACUUCAGACAUACAAUUACAAUAGUCAUACAAUGAAUGGAGGGGGGACAGGAGCCAACACGCUGGAGUAACACAUCUGUAUUGUACAUCAAAAUCAAUGGCAAACACUUCUCUAGUUACUCUUAGAAAAAUACUAGACGCGUUAAAAGCUGAAAAGCUUUGCUUAAAAACAACCUAUAUGUACAAGAUAAGCUUUGACCCUCAAAAAACAGAUAAAAAUUGGCAAAAACAAAUGAGAAACACUGGUUAAGCGUCUCGCAGUGCUGACCUGUAUCAGAUACACUACACCAAGGCAUCGUAGCAAAAUAAAGCAUUCCACUGUACUUAGUAGACUUAUUCAUUACAUUUAUUUUCAUAACUGCUUCUCUAUAGGGCGAUGGACUUUAGUCUAAUUUGGGUAAAGACUGACCUGAAAGCAAAGCUGUCUGCAUGUGAGGUAAAGAAAGCAAACAUUCCCAGCCAGUUUUUGCAUGAACAUGGAUUACACCGUUUAAUGCAGACCCAAGGCCAGACAUUUUUUUGGGGGUAGGUUUUAUUUCCAUUACAGGUUCUCUUUACGUAAGAUCAUAAAAAUACAAUACAAUGUCAUGAGCUCAACUUAGUUACAAGCGGCAGGCAGCCCCUAUUAACACAGCUCCCAACGAGGGACGAGAAAAGCUAAACCCGGUGUCACUAGGGUUCCUUAUGGGAGAGUCACCCGGUGCAAGGAACUACAACAGGUUGGACAGGAAACGUCAUGCCUCAGAUCACUCGAGGAUGAUCUGAUCAUCUCCAUGACCAAAAUAACCCACAGGAGAAGUCUGCGAUGGCUUGUGAGCUCCCUCCGCUCACGGGCCAGGCUCCGGGCCGAGCUCAGCUGCACGAGCCUUCUCUAGGAUUGCAGAACGCCUUGUUUGAAAAUGAACCAUAUGGGAAGGUCCCUUUUGGAAAAACAAUGGAUACUUUUAAAGGAAAUGCUGACAUUUAACUUUUAAAUCUGACAUUGAAAAUGAAGUAGAGCCUGGGGCAGGACAUGCCUGACGAGCUUGGGAGGAAAGCCUUGCCUUCCCAGUGGGGUAAACUGAGGCAGCACUUGAAUAUAGAAACUCCAGGAUUUUAAGAGCACCCAAAGAUGAGGAUACUUAGCCCAAAAUGAGCUGCCAGUGACCUGCACUAAGAAUCUCCAGUUGCCAAGGGCUGGAUGUGCACAUGGGAAAGGGUCGAGGCCCAGAGACACAAAUGCCCUUGGACUUCACUACCCACUGAAUCGUACUAGAACAUUGCUAGUAGGAAAGACACAUCAAGGGCUUUUAAUUAUUGGGCAAAGCUGAGACAAAGUGAAAAUCUCUUUAGAGCCACGCUUUUAUCAUCUCUCUGGUACAUGGGGCUAUUUCUAGCUGCCUACAGUUACCAAAUCACGAUCUUUGAAAGGAAAUUACAGACUGCUGCGGAGUCCGAAAGACAUACUCUAAUAGGAUUAUUUUGUGAAAGGUGACAACAGAAAGUGUCAUCUGUUCGUUAUCAUACUGGGACCAAUGUGUUAUCAAGGCACUUUGGAACUUUGGGAAAUUCUGUUCCCAUAAACUGGCAGCCAUAAAACUUGGACCCUCAGAAAGCAUUUACAGAAAUAGAUGUACCCUUUAGCAAGUGAAAAAACACUUCCUGCAGGGACAGACCUUCCUGACUCUUUCAGGUGCUAGAGAAACAUCCGAGUGCCAAUGAAGUGAGCUCAGUCCCAGAGUGCGAGGUUUUCAGAUGCUAGGAGCAGCCGACCUCCCCGGGUAAGCCACGACGCUCUGGUCCCGCAGAGCUACUGGCGGUUUCUGCUCUUGGCCACUACCAAACAGCACUUGCUGUGUUUAAAAGACCCUUGAACAAGAGAGGCAGCCUGUUGCCUCCUACAUUCAGACGCAUUCGCUCAGGACAACCUGAUAGCGGUAACUAAUCUCCAGUUUUAUCUUGCCAGAGGUAUGGCUGUUUCUUUUUUCUUCUUUUUUUUUUUCUUUUUUUUCUUAAAAGGUCUCCUAACUUCACUAAAAUGUUCCCAUCCUUACUGAUGACUACAGAAAAUUGUAAACUGAGUUUACAAACAAAAACUUGGAAGGUAAUUAGCUGGUGUUUUCAUCUUUCUUCAAUGCAGUCUCAAAGGUUUUUUUGCUAUUAAUUUUCAUAAUUUUCUUACGUUGCACAUGAAAAUAAGAUUUUCCCCUCUAAAUGCAGAGUGUAGGGGGAAAAUACAGACACCAUUUUCCAAACAAAAAAUCUUUAUGAAAAAACAGAAAAUCCGAAAACAAAAAAACCCCCACCCGAUUAACUUGGGUUGGACCAAUCGGGCCUUAAAAAUGAAGAAAAAAACAAACAAACAAAAACCCUUCUGCUUUAUUUAGCAUAAUAAAUCAUAUCAUUGUAUUGCUUUUGUGUUUGGACCUUACUUCUACCUAACCAAAAUUUCCCCUCUUCUCAUAAUUGUUCUAGUGCUCUGUCAGGUUGUGUGUGUGUCUAGAUCCUGAAAGAUCCACAUUUCAAUGCUGGCACAACCCAUUUAAAAAUGACAAAAGAUGCCCGUUCCACUUUCUGAUUGGAAAAAAAAAAAAAAAAGGACCAAAAAACCACACCACAA
Molecule: long non-coding RNA, 3871 nt
Organism: Canis lupus familiaris (dog)
Lineage: Eukaryota; Metazoa; Chordata; Mammalia; Carnivora; Canidae
Exons: 4
Source: RefSeq, a predicted model, not a curated record